AGAGUUUGAUCCUGGCUCAGAACUAACGCUGGCGGCGUGGCUAAGACAUGCAAGUCGAACGGAAUAUAUGAUUGAGUAAUCAUGACUAUAUUUAGUGGCGAAAGGGCGAGGAAUAAAUAGGUAACGUACCCCGAACAUCAGAAUAGCGUCUCGAAAGAGGCAGUAAUACUGUAUAAUAUCAUUAUUCUCAAGUUUAAUGAUCAAAGAUUUAUCGGUUUGGGAGCGGCCUAUUUCCCAUCAGCUAGUUGGUAAGGUAAUGGCUUACCAAGGCUACGACGGGUAUCGGGACUGAGAGGUUGACCCGACGCAUCGGAACUGAGACACUGUCCGGACCUCCACGGAGGGCUGCAGUAACGAAUAUUGCACAAUGAACGAAAGUUUGAUGCAGCAACGCCGCGUGUGGGAUGAAGCUCCUUGGAGUGUAAACUACUGUCAGGGGUCAGAAAGUGCGUUUCGGCGCAUUGAUCACCCCCAGAGGAAGUCACGGCUAACUUCGUGCCAGCAGCCGCGGUAAUACGAAGGUGGCGAGCGUUGUUCGGAAUUAUUGGGCUUAAAGAGCACGUAGGCGGAUCAGAAAGUGUCUUGUGAAAACCCCCGGCUUAACCGGGGAAUUGCUUGGCAAACUUCUAGAUCUUGAGUCAAGUAGGGGUACAUGGAACUCUUAGUGGAGCGGUGGAAUGCGUAGAUAUUAAGAGGAACGCCAAUGGUGAAGACAGUGUACUGGGCUUGUACUGACGCUGAGGUGCGAAAGCGUGGGGAGCGAACGGGAUUAGAUACCCCGGUAGUCCACGCCGUAAACGAUGUCUACUAGGUUGUGGGAGUUCUGACACCUUCACAGCCGAAGCAAAAGUGUUAAGUAGACCGCCUGGGGAGUACGGUCGCAAGGCUAAAACUCAAAGGAAUUGACGGGGGCUCACACAAGCGGUGGAGCAUGUGGAUUAAUUCGAAUCAACGCGCAGAACCUUACCUGGGUUUGACAUGUAUGGAUGCCUAUCUGGAAACAGAGUCGGCUGCCUUAGGGUGAAACUUACACAGGUGCUGCAUGGCUGUCGUCAGCUCGUGUCGUGAGAUGUCGGGUUAAGUCCUUUAACGAGCGAAACCCUUACCGUUAGUUGCCAGCGCGUCAUGGCGGGGACUCUAGCGGGACUGCCGGUGUCAAACCGGAGGAAGGCGGGGAUGACGUCAAGUCCUCAUGGCCUUUAUGCCCAGGGCUUCACACGUGCUACAAUGGUAACUACAAAGCGAAGCAAGACCGCGAGGUGGAGCAAAUCGCAAAAAAGUUGCCUCAGUUCGGAUUGCAGGCUGUCAACUCGCCUGCAUGAAGUUGGAAUCGCUAGUAAUCCGUAUCAGCUAUGACGCGGUGAAUGUGUUCCUGAGCCUUGUACACACCGCCCGUCAAGUGAUGGAAGUCGGGAGCACCCGAAGUCGAAUUGCUAACCUUUUAUUAGGAGGCGUUUGCCGACGGUGAGUUCGAUGACUGGCACUAAGUCGGAACAAGGUA
This 1501-nucleotide ribosomal RNA is filed under the name metagenome. RNAcentral describes it as "bacterial SSU rRNA". It matches the Rfam family "Bacterial small subunit ribosomal RNA". The record is from RNAcentral.